AUUGAACGCUGGCGGCGGGCUUAACACAUGCAAGUCGAGCGGGGUGAUGGUGCUUGCACUAUCACUUAGCGGCGGACGGGUGAGUAAUGCUUAGGAAUCUGCCUAUUAGUGGGGGACAACAUCUCGAAAGGGAUGCUAAUACCGCAUACGUCCUACGGGAGAAAGCAGGGGAUCACUGGUGACAUUGCGCUAAUAGAUGAGCCUAAGUCGGAUUAGCUAGUUGGUGGGGUAAAGGCCUACCAAGGCGACGAUCUGUAGCGGGUCUGAGAGGAUGAUCCGCCACACUGGGACUGAGACACGGCCCAGACUCCUACGGGAGGCAGCAGUGGGGAAUAUUGGACAAUGGGGGGAACCCUGAUCCAGCCAUGCCGCGUGUGUGAAGAAGGCCUUAUGGUUGUAAAGCACUUUAAGCGAGGAGGAGGCUCUUUUGGUUAAUACCCAAGAUGAGUGGACGUUACUCGCAGAAUAAGCACCGGCUAACUCUGUGCCAGCAGCCGCCGUAA
RNAcentral lists this ribosomal RNA (503 nucleotides) under uncultured bacterium. Its description in RNAcentral is "partial 16S ribosomal RNA". It matches the Rfam family "Bacterial small subunit ribosomal RNA", at positions 30 to 523 of the family's 1533-position model. The record is from RNAcentral.